RNAcentral lists this transfer RNA (71 nucleotides) under Rattus norvegicus (Norway rat). It matches the Rfam family "tRNA". Rfam says of the family: Transfer RNA (tRNA) molecules are approximately 80 nucleotides in length. Their secondary structure includes four short double-helical elements and three loops (D, anti-codon, and T loops). Lineage: Eukaryota; Metazoa; Chordata; Mammalia; Rodentia; Muridae. The record is from Rfam by way of RNAcentral.
GGGGAGUUAGCUCAGCGGUAGAGCGCUUGCCUAGCGAGCGCAAGGCCCUGGGUUCGGUCCCCAGCUCCUUA